AAAAUCCUAUUCAAGUUCUCUCGUCUUUGGUAUUCUACACAGCCGCUGCCUCCGUGAAGCAAGCAGAUCGGAGGCGGCGUCCGAUUGUCUUCCCCUGCUGCUAUCUCCACCGUAGACAGCGUUCGCCUUCAUUGUCUUCUCUGCCUUCACUGUUUUCUCCUCCAUCUCCAUGGCUACCGGUCGUUACUCCCUUAUUUUCACACUGUUGUUUUCAUUUGCUUUGUUUUACUAGUUUAAUUUCGUUUGCAGUUUAUGUGUUUUCCUCUCGUUGUUUUGACGAG
This is a long non-coding RNA of Ipomoea nil (Japanese morning glory), 281 nucleotides long. RefSeq lists it as uncharacterized. The transcript has 3 exons. Lineage: Eukaryota; Viridiplantae; Streptophyta; Magnoliopsida; Solanales; Convolvulaceae. The record is from RefSeq and is a predicted model, not a curated record.